RNAcentral lists this long non-coding RNA (962 nucleotides) under Capra hircus (goat). RNAcentral describes it as "lncRNA (ENSCHIG00010028924.1)". Lineage: Eukaryota; Metazoa; Chordata; Mammalia; Artiodactyla; Bovidae. The record is from RNAcentral.
GUGUCUGCUGAGCUAUCCGGAUGCCCAGAACCUCCAGCUGCAAGCUGGCUUCUUGGGAUGAUGGCCCCGGCACCCAGCCCUCUUACUCUGGUGGGCUGCUGCCCUGGCGAUUGAUUUUUAAAAAAUGUGUUCUGUGCUGACUCCACUCUGUUCUGUAGCAUCCCUCUCUCCGGUACCACGGCUCCUUCCUGCAAGCUGGUCUGGCCAGAGACCAAGGGAGAAGCAUAUGUCUCAUACAUGGGGGCUUGGGGGGGAAGGGAGGAGCCAGCCAACCACCUGGAGUCAUGCCAUGCCUCUGUCUCCCACCUCCCCUGGAACCCAGGUCCCCAUCCCAGCCGAUUUCAUUGGCAUCCUCGGACUAAAAGCAUCCAUAGCUGGGCCAAGUGACCCACACACAGGCAUAGGAGAGCUUAACAGGGCUGGAAAUUUUUUGAAGACCCCAAAAUACAUUAUUGUAUUACCAUAUUUAGUUACUGUGAAACUUUACAAACUUUUUUUCAGUCAUGAAAAGGAAUUCAUACUUGUUACAACAUUCGAAAUAAGAUCAGAGUUGGCUGAAGAUAAGACAUGCCCUCUGACCCCUCCUCUCCUCUGUCCCCUGCCACUCCCCACAGAAGCCAGUCUGGGCUGUAUCUGUCCAGAUGUUUUCUGUGCUUGCUCGUUGGAGCCUCGCCACAAUUCCACGAGAUGGGCAGGUCUGAGAGCAAAGUUGCCAGUUCACAGGGGAGCAACAUGGGGGCCCAGGUCUAGCAUCAAGAGCAGAGGGCCUGGAAGUGAAUGGGGCUGAAGGACAGCGAGGUCUCCAGUUCCAGGACGGUCUCCGGUCCAGAAACCAGGGAAUUGGAGGGCAGUGUGCGCAGACUUGACAAUCACGGAACAAGACCACACAGAUCCCCUCUCCACCUAUAGAAGAAAAGAUAUGACCUUUCAUCAAAGCUAUUUGACCUUGAUGAAAAACAUGC